GACGAACGCUGGCGGCGUGCUUAACACAUGCAAGUCGAACGGUGAAGCGCCUUCCUUUUUGGUGGGUGUGGAUGAGUGGCGAACGGGUGAGUAACACGUGAGUAACCUGCCCCCUUCUUCUGGAUAACCGCAUGAAAGUGUUGCUAAUACGGGAUAUUCUGGGUCUGUCGCAUGAUGGGUCUGGGAAAGAUUUUGUUUCGGUGGGGGAUGGGCUCGCGGCUUAUCAGCUUGUUGGUGGGGUGAUGGCCUACCAAGGCGGUGACGGGUAGCCGGCCUGAGAGGGUGGACGGUCACACUGGGAGUGAGACACGGCACAGACUCCUACGGGAGGCAGCAGUGGGGAAUAGUGCACAAUGGGCGCAAGCCUGAUGCAGCGACGCCGCGUGAGGGAUGGAGGCCUUCGGGUUGUGAACCUCUUUCGCCAGUGAAGCAGGCCUGCCUCGUUUGUGGGUGGGUUGACGGUAGCUGGAUAAGAAGCGCCGGCUAACUACGUG
RNAcentral lists this ribosomal RNA (494 nucleotides) under uncultured bacterium. RNAcentral's name for it is "partial 16S ribosomal RNA". It matches the Rfam family "Bacterial small subunit ribosomal RNA", at positions 28 to 507 of the family's 1533-position model. The record is from RNAcentral.